This 483-nucleotide ribosomal RNA is filed under the name uncultured bacterium. Its description in RNAcentral is "partial 16S ribosomal RNA". It matches the Rfam family "Bacterial small subunit ribosomal RNA", at positions 30 to 506 of the family's 1533-position model. The record is from RNAcentral.
AUUGAACGCUGGCGGCAGGCCUAACACAUGCAAGUCGAGCGGAUGAAGGGAGCUUGCUCCUGGAUUCAGCGGCGGACGGGUGAGUAAUGCCUAGGAAUCUGCCUGGUAGUGGGGGAUAACGUCCGGAAACGGGCGCUAAUACCGCAUACGUCCUGAGGAAGAAAGUGGGGGAUCUUCGGACCUCACGCUAUCAGAUGAGCCUAGGUCGGAUUAGCUAGUUGGUGGGGUAAAGGCCUACCAAGGCGACGAUCCGUAACUGGUCUGAGAGGAUGAUCAGUCACACUGGAACUGAGACACGGUCCAGACUCCUACGGGAGGCAGCAGUGGGGAAUAUUGGACAAUGGGCGAAAGCCUGAUCCAGCCAUGCCGCGUGUGUGAAGAAGGUCUUCGGAUUGUAAAGCACUUUAAGUUGGGAGGAAGGGCAGUAAGUUAAUACCUUGCUGUUUUGACGUUACCAACAGAAUAAGCACCGGCUAACUUCGU